Molecule: non-coding RNA, 756 nt
Organism: Lactuca sativa (garden lettuce)
Lineage: Eukaryota; Viridiplantae; Streptophyta; Magnoliopsida; Asterales; Asteraceae
Source: RefSeq, a predicted model, not a curated record
UUGUGCCCGUUUCCUUUUGUUGAUCGGGCAAAGGAAAGGAACAUGUAUGAACGAAAGUAGCGUCGGCAGUGAACGAUAACGAUUGAAAGGAACACGAGGAUAGUCGACCGUUGGCCCCUGGCACUGACUCGAUUUGGGGAAACGAAGUUUGGAAACGGAAGGGAGGUGGUCUCAGUGGUGGUAAUCGAUUGAAUGAGGGAGCUUCUCUGGUGUCUGGCAGAACCGAAGGAGGGGAAGAGACGAAAGCAGCGAAGCUCUCUCUUUCUCGUUCGGCUGCGUGGUGCGAAUGAAGAAUGAGGUCCGAAGGGGAGUCCGGGAGGCGAUAGGUCAGCAGCGACGUCGCAUGUAGGCCUCGGUGGGCUUUGCUCGAUGAAAGAAGAAGAGAAUGGCGCGAGGGUUGGUUCGAUUGAAGCGACGUGUGCAGCAGCAGUAGAGCUAGCGAGGCUUCGGCGAUGUUUUGCUCCGUUUUGUAGCAGGAAAAAGAAGAAACGAGGUUGCGAUCCAAGGAUAGAGAAGGGCAACAACCUUCUUCUUUGGCUGAAGAUCCAGAAACGGGAAGGAAAGAAGAAGAUAUCAUUUUUUUGGAUAGAUUUCAAAAUCUGAUCGUAUCGAUUUUUUUACAUGAUUUUGAUUGUACAGCAUUUGCCUGUGAAUGGAAAGAGUGUUUGUGUGUAAGAUUGGGUGAAGAAAGAGUGUAGGAAAAACUUUAGUGUGAUUUAUGUGAAAGAUUAAGUGCGGAAGCAACCAUUAACUUAA